This 863-nucleotide ribosomal RNA is filed under the name uncultured Thermoprotei archaeon. RNAcentral's name for it is "bacterial SSU rRNA". It matches the Rfam family "Archaeal small subunit ribosomal RNA", at positions 1 to 872 of the family's 1478-position model. The record is from RNAcentral. Lineage: Archaea; Thermoproteati; Thermoproteota; Thermoprotei.
UUCUGGUUGAUCCUGCCGGACCCGACUGCUAUCAGAGUGAGAUUAAGCCAUGCGAGUUAACGUMGCAAURCGUGGCGCACGGCUCAGUAACACGUAGUCAACAUGCCCAGAGGACGUGGAUAACCUCGGGAAACUGAGUCUAAACCGCGAUAAGUGAGGGAUUUCUGGAAUGGUUCCUGACUAAAAUCUAUAUGGCCUCUGGAUUGGACUGCGGCCGAUCAGGCUGUUGGUGAGGUAAUGGCCCACCAAACCUGUAACCGGUACGGGCUCUGAGAGGAGGAGCCCGGAGAUGGGCACUGAGACAAGGGCCCAGGCCCUAUGGGGCGCAGCAGGCGCGAAACCUCUGCAAUAGGCGAAAGCCUGACAGGGUUACUCUGAGUGACUUUCGCUAAGAAAGUCUUUUGGCACCUCUAAAAAGGGUGCAGAAUAAGGGGUGGGCAAGUCUGGUGUCAGCCGCCGCGGUAAUACCAGCACCCCGAGUGGUCGGGACGAUUAUUGGGCCUAAAGCAUCCGUAGCCGGUUCUGCAAGUCCYCCGUUAAAUCCASCUGCUCAACAGAUGGGCCGCGGAGGAUACUACAGAGCUAGGAGGCRGGAGAGGCAAGCGGUACUCAGUGGGUAGGGGUAAAAUCCKUUGAUCCAUUGAAGACCACCAGUGGCGAAGGCGGCUUGCCAGAAUGCGCUCGACGGUGAGGGAUGAARGCUGGGGGAGCAAACCGGAUUAGAUACCCGGGUAGUCCCAGCCGUAAACGAUGCAGACUCGGUGAUGGGUUGGCUUCGCGCYAACCCAGUGCCGCAGGGAAGCCGUUAAGUCUGCCGCCUGGGKAGUACGGUCGCAAGACUGAAACUUAAAGGAAUUGGCGGG